GAUGAACGCUGGCGGCGUGCCUAAUACAUGCAAGUCGAGCGAACGGACGAGAAGCUUGCUUCUCUGAUGUUAGCGGCGGACGGGUGAGUAACACGUGGAUAACCUACCUAUAAGACUGGGAUAACUUCGGGAAACCGGAGCUAAUACCGGAUAAUAUUUUGAACCGCAUGGUUCAAAAGUGAAAGACGGUCUUGCUGUCACUUAUAGAUGGAUCCGCGCUGCAUUAGCUAGUUGGUAAGGUAACGGCUUACCAAGGCAACGAUGCAUAGCCGACCUGAGAGGGGGAUCGGCCACACUGGAACUGAGACACGGUCCAGACUCCUACGGGAGGCAGCAGUAGGAAUCUUCCGCAAUGGGCGAAAGCCUGACGGAGCAACGCCGCGUGAGUGAUGAAGGUCUUCGGAUCGUAAAACUCUGUUAUUAGGGAAGAACAUAUGUGUAAGUAACUGUGCACAUCUUGACGGUACCUAAUCAGAAAGCCACGGCUAACUACGUG
This 496-nucleotide ribosomal RNA is filed under the name uncultured bacterium. RNAcentral's name for it is "partial 16S ribosomal RNA". It matches the Rfam family "Bacterial small subunit ribosomal RNA", at positions 28 to 507 of the family's 1533-position model. The record is from RNAcentral.